RNAcentral lists this ribosomal RNA (301 nucleotides) under uncultured bacterium. RNAcentral describes it as "partial 16S ribosomal RNA". It matches the Rfam family "Bacterial small subunit ribosomal RNA", at positions 509 to 809 of the family's 1533-position model. The record is from RNAcentral.
CAGUAGCCGCGGGAAAACGUAGGUGGCAAGCGUUGUCCGGAAUUAUUGGGCGUAAAGGGCUCGCAGGCGGUUUCUUAAGUCUGAUGUGAAAGCCCCCGGCUCAACCGGGGAGGGUCAUUGGAAACUGGGAAACUUGAGUGCAGAAGAGGAGAGUGGAAUUCCACGUGUAGCGGUGAAAUGCGUAGAGAUGUGGAGGAACACCAGUGGCGAAGGCGACUCUCUGGUCUGUAACUGACGCUGAGGAGCGAAAGCGUGGGGAGCGAACAGGAUUAGAUACCCCUGUAGUCCCUGUCUCUUAUAA